UGCGACCGGCAUCCAGCGAUAACCCCUCCACAGGAACUAAACACUUGAUAUAAAAAAAACUCCCAAGUCAGCACUCGACAUUCUGUUCUGUUCUGUUACGACAUUCUGUGUCUUUACUCUGUCAGUUUAUAUAAUAAAUUUUGCAAUAACUAUCAUAAUUGAAGUACCAAUCUCUCGCUUUACGUGCGGAACGUGAAAUAAUCUCGAACCGACCGACGUGACAUCUGUAGUGGAACUCGCAAACUGUGAUGUUACUGCCUUCUGAACAGUCAGCGUGAGAAUCAUUCGUCGAUAGAAAAUUUAACGGAAUCAAUAUUCCUUCUUUGACUGAAAUUGAUAUUUUUACGAAAAUUUAUACUUGUUUCUAAUAUUUAUUGGAUUAUGCAUCGAUGCUCUCGAUCAUUCUUUCUUCUAACAUUAUUUGCUUUUACUACGAAACAUGCAGUUGAUACGAGCAACAAGUCUUUACAUAUACUGAGAUUUACAGACGAACAAGAUCAACAAGUGGCUGCGUGUACCAACACUAAACGAAUAACAACGCUACAGCUAUGAAUAGUUUGCAAACAAUUUUAGCCAGUCUGAACUCAGCAUUAGACAGCACGAAGGUCAAUACACAGUACACAGUACUAAGGAAUUUCGGUUGAGAUGGUUCCAACAUUCUUAUCUUGCCCCAUCGAUUGAAGAAUAACGCAAUUGCCGCAGCCCAUAGAAAGAGUACGAAAAUAACUAUCAAGGCCUCUUCAGCUCUGAGUAUAACUGCACCUAGUUUUGG
This is a long non-coding RNA of Bombus pyrosoma, 772 nucleotides long. RefSeq lists it as uncharacterized. The record is from RefSeq and is a predicted model, not a curated record. The transcript is spliced from 3 exons. NCBI's taxonomy places the organism in Eukaryota, Metazoa, Arthropoda, Insecta, Hymenoptera, Apidae.